CCCUUAGAUGUUCUGGGCUGCACGCGCGCUACAAUGAUAUAGAGAAAAAGUAUGGUUCGGUUUUGGCAAAAACUGGUAAUCAGGAGUUGCUAUCGUAGCUGGAAUCGACAAUUGCAAUUAUUGGUCGUCAACGAGGAAUUCCUAGUAAGCGUAAGUCAUCAAGUUGCGCUGACUAUGUCCCUGCCCUUUGUACACACCGCCCGUCGCUCCUACCGAUUGAGUGUUCCGGUGAACUGAUUGGGUUGUAGAACGCUGUGUAUCUACGCAAAAUUUUGCAAGAAAUUCCGCGAACCUUNANACUUAUNGGAAGGAGAANUCGUANCA
This 324-nucleotide ribosomal RNA is filed under the name uncultured eukaryote. RNAcentral describes it as "partial 18S ribosomal RNA". It matches the Rfam family "Eukaryotic small subunit ribosomal RNA", at positions 1470 to 1796 of the family's 1831-position model. The record is from RNAcentral.